GUCAUUAUAACCGACGCACUUUAUAAAAAAACUAAAAAAAAAACAAACGCAAAAAAAAUUAUCCAUCUUCACCUGCCCUUCAAUUAGGCUCAGAACACUCUGAUUGGUGGGUUUAAGCCAUCCAAUCAGAGUGCUCUGACAGGUAAAUGAAGAGACUGACAGGUAAGUCUCUACAUUUACCUGUCAGAGCACUCUGGUGGAUUUUUAAAGUGCGUUGGUUAUUAUGGCUUUUUAUUUGGCCUUUUUGGGGGCUGAAAAAAGAUUUUAGAAAAGAGAAAAC
Pelobates cultripes (western spadefoot toad) is the source of this 280-nucleotide non-coding RNA. The record is from the annotation of a GenBank genome assembly. NCBI's taxonomy places the organism in Eukaryota, Metazoa, Chordata, Amphibia, Anura, Pelobatidae.